AUAUCUCUCUGUACGGGAAGGAUGAGAAGCUUCGACUAAGGUUCGAUUCGAGCGCAGCGAGAAAGCGUUGCCGCAGGCAACGACCCGAAGGGCGAAGCGCGCAGCGCUGAGUCAUCCUUCCCCCACCACCA
This 131-nucleotide small RNA is filed under the name Salmonella enterica subsp. enterica serovar Gallinarum. Its description in RNAcentral is "RtT sRNA". It matches the Rfam family "RtT RNA". From Rfam's summary of the family: This family represents a bacterial cis-regulatory element known as RtT RNA. The exact function of RtT is unknown although it is thought that it may be involved in changing the cellular response in relation to amino acid starvation. The record is from RNAcentral. RNAcentral also lists the same sequence under 285 other names. Lineage: Bacteria; Pseudomonadati; Pseudomonadota; Gammaproteobacteria; Enterobacterales; Enterobacteriaceae.